Molecule: long non-coding RNA, 298 nt
Organism: Gallus gallus (chicken)
Lineage: Eukaryota; Metazoa; Chordata; Aves; Galliformes; Phasianidae
Source: Ensembl
GUUUGGCGGUCGGAGCUGCUGAGCGUUCCUAAGUCCAGGUGAAAUCAGUGGGAGCAACAUGUGCUCAGCACCUCGGGAAGCUGCCAGCAGGCCUUUUGAGCAUUGCACUGCUCGCUCAUCGGUCUAUCUGCUCCCUGUGCCAUACAGCGAGACACCCGGCUCCUCGAACAUGCUCAGUAAAGAGAUUCUGUGUUCACCUGAAGAAGACAAUCUACAUAAGCAUGACUCUGGAGGAAGAAUAAACUAGAAAUCUAAGUGAGGAAUGAAGUAAAAAUCCAACCCUCGAUCUGAAGAAUCU